UUAAGUUCAGCGGGUAGUCCUACCUGAUUUGAGGUCACAUUAAUGAAAAUUUGUCCAAGUCAAUGGACCUAUUAGAAGCUGAACCUGCUUCACGUCAAUAGCGUAGAUAGUUAUCACACCAAUGAACGGUCAACAAAUUGUUCCGCUAAUGCAUUUCAGGGGAGCCGACCUCAGAAAGAGAGACCAGCAAAAGAACCCCC
This 200-nucleotide unclassified non-coding RNA is filed under the name Cortinarius sp. Its description in RNAcentral is "partial internal transcribed spacer 2". The record is from RNAcentral. Lineage: Eukaryota; Fungi; Basidiomycota; Agaricomycetes; Agaricales; Cortinariaceae.